Unclassified non-coding RNA from Erinaceus europaeus (western European hedgehog), 329 nucleotides. Its record names the gene 7SK. It matches the Rfam family "7SK RNA". From Rfam's summary of the family: 7SK was discovered as an abundant small nuclear RNA in the mid-70s but a possible function has only recently been suggested. Two independent studies have found that 7SK RNA binds the CDK9/cyclin T complex (known as elongation factor P-TEFb). P-TEFb activates transcription by phosphorylating the C-terminal domain of RNA polymerase II. Lineage: Eukaryota; Metazoa; Chordata; Mammalia; Eulipotyphla; Erinaceidae. The record is from Ensembl.
GGAUGUGAGGCCACCUGGCUGCGACAUUUGUCACCCCAUGAUCGCCAGGGUUGAUUCGGCUGAUCUGCUGGCUAGGCGGUGUCCCCUUCUUCCCUCACCCCUCCAGGUGUGUCCCUCCCGAAGCUGCGCGCUGGCUCCAAGAGGACGGCCUUCCCCAAACAGAGAGGGACUUUGUCUUCCGUGGAGGGAAUAUGAGUAGCUGCGCUCCCCUGCUAGAAUCUCCAGACAAGCUCUCAAGGUCCGUUUGUAAGAGAAUGUGGGGCAGUCAGACUACCAAGACUCCACACACAUCCAGAUGAGACGCUGCAUGUGGCCCUCUGCCUUCCUUU